Zeugodacus cucurbitae (melon fly) is the source of this 4350-nucleotide long non-coding RNA. RefSeq lists it as uncharacterized. The record is from RefSeq and is a predicted model, not a curated record. The transcript is spliced from 5 exons. Lineage: Eukaryota; Metazoa; Arthropoda; Insecta; Diptera; Tephritidae.
UUGUCUCCUGCGGCUAUACAUAUGCAUACAUAUGUACAUGCACACAUUCAUAUAUGUCUGGCGAACCUCCUCUAACCAAUUCAACACGGAAAGCGCUUAAAAAUUGGCUAUAUUAACAAACCAUAGGAUAAUGUGAUAAACCUCAUACGGCGCGUUAAAGGUACGUAACUUAAUUAGUGUCCCUUAUGGUAGAACUAUCGAAGUGAUUGGACUAUGUGCUGCAAACAAAUCCUGUAUUAUGGACGCAAACGCUGCUACGCCCAACACAAAUCAUUUACACAAUAGAUAUUAGGUUCAAUGGUUCAUGUUUCAUAUGCAAUUAAACCAUUUGACCAGAAAUUGGAUGCAUCUAGUACUAGUGAAAUUAAUGAAAAAACAGAUCCUACAAAAACUCCUAAAGAAACCAAAAAGUCCACACCUCAUAUGCGCCGUUGGCACUUCCAGGCCACACGGGAAAUUUGACAUUUGUCACUCUUCCUCCAGCCUUCGUACGAUGGCACAAAUUGUUUAACUAUUUAAUACAAUAUACAUAUGUAUAUGACACUAGAUAAUGCUUGUAUAAAGUAAAUUUAAUAAUAAACACCUGGAGGAUGGGAUCAUGUGUAGAAGUUCACGCAAGUGAGGAAAGUUUUUGAUUGUCAUUCGCUUGGGAGUGACCAGAAACGAUUCUUCCCCACAUGGUUCAAGCAGCUCACGACUUCCGGUUUUAGACCAAGUAUCCCCUGGGUAGCCAACAGACAUCCGUUUGAAGGCGAGCUAAAGUGAGAAGGCGAAGCCCGCUUAUGCGGUUGUGCGUAGUGCUUGGGACCCACCACAUAAAAACGAAGUGCCAAUGAAAAAUCGACGAAAGCCUCGAAUGAGACACCCCCCUUUUGAUGACGACCCCUGCAAACGUUUUAAGGAUAAUGAUUUAAGGGCAUGCACUUGGAAUGUCCCGACCCUUAAUUGGGAAGGUGCCUCUGCCCAGCUGGUUGAUGUCCUCAUACGACUAAAGGUUGACAUCACCGCCCUCCAAGAAGUGCGGUGGACGGGACAAGGACGAAAGAAGGUGGGUCCUUGUGACAUCUAUUACAGCGGCCGUAUAAAGGAGCGCAAAUUUGGUGUUGGAUUUGUGGUGGAAGAGGACUCCGUCGCCGGGUUGUGGCAUUCUCCCCGGUGGAUGAACGUCUAUCCACAAUCCGCAUAAAAGCGAGGUUCUUCAAGAUAUCGCUUAUUUGCGCCCACGCCCAAACGAAAAAGAAGGACGAUGUGACCAAAGAUACUUUCUAUGAGCGUCUAGAACGCAUAUACGAGCUCUGCCCCCGCCACGAUGUCAAAAUCGGCACAACAGUCGAAAAAUUCAGCCUCCAUGACGAAACAUUGCCAAACGGCCUGAGGCUGAUCGACUUCGAUCAGGCCCGAAAUAUGGUCGUCUGGUGUACCAGAUUCCAGCACAGUAAAAUUCAUCAAGAAACAUGGCUGUGUCCUGUUCGAAACAAGCGUAACCAAAUCGAUCAUGUUGUGAUAGACGGAAGACAUGCCUCCAGUGUGUGCGUACUCUCCGAGGACCAGAUAUAGACUCGGACCAUUAUCUGGUAGCAGCAGAUACGCACCCGCCUCUGACUCAAAAACACAAGGAAGGUUCGAUGUCAAAAAGCUGUAAUCGCAACAGACGGCCCAGAAAUUCUCUACACGACUUGCACUUCUGCUUUCUGAGAACACUCAUCAGCAUCUCGGUAUAAGCGAACUGUGGAACUGCACCUCAAACUCACUGCGUAUCGCUGCAAAAAAUGAAAAAUGUCGAAAUUCGUGAGUAUGGAGUGCCUGAGAAGCUGGCGACAGGGGUAAUGCUCGAAAAGUUUAAGAAAAAAUUAAGCGAUUUAAAGAAUGUUUCAAGACCGGAGCAUUCUCAUGUAGAGAUCAAGGUGGUAAUCUUGUACCCGAUGUCCAGGGCAUACUGGGAUUAUGGAGGGAACACUUCUCCGACCUGCUGAAUGGCAGUGCGAGUACAACACCAGGAGAUGGCGAACCCGAUCCCCCAAUCGAUGACGAUGGAACAGAUGUUCCAUUACCCGACCAUGAAGAAAUUCGAAUAGCAAUUACCCGCUUGAAGAACAACAAAGCAGCGGGGGCCGAUAGAUUACCGGCAGAACUAUUCAAAUACGGCGGCGAAGAACUGAUAAGGUGCUUGCAUCAGCUUCUUUGCAGAAUAUGGUCGGAAGAAAGCAUGCCUGACGAUUGGAAUCUCAUUAGCUCUGCCCAAUCCAUAAGAAGGGAGAUCCCACAAUCUGCGCCAAUUACCGUGGAUCAGCCUCCUAAAUAUCGCAUACAAUGUUCUAUCGAGCGUACUGUGUGAAAGACUAAAGCCCACCGUCAACAAACUGAUUGGACCUUAUCAGUGUGGCUUUAGACCUGGAAAAUCAACAAUGGACCAGAUAUUCACCAUGCGCCAAAUCUUAGAGAAGACCCGUGAAAAGAGGAUCGACACACACUACCUUUUUGUCGAUUUUAAAGCUGCUUUCGACAGCACGAAAAGGAGCUGCCUUUACGCCGCGAUGUCUGAAUUUGAUAUCUCCGCAAAACUAAUACGGCUGUGUAAAUUGACGUUGAGAAACACCAAAAGCUCCAUCAUGAUUGGGAAGGACCUCUCCGAGCCGUUCGAUACCAAACGAGGUUUCAGACAAGGUGACUCACUAUCGUGCGACUUCUUUAACCUGAUGCUGGAAAAAAUUAUAAGAGCUGCAGAGCUAAACAGAGAAGGUACAAUCUUCUACAAGAGUGUACAGCUCCUGGCGUACGCCGAUGAUAUUGAUAUCAUCGGAAGAAACAACCGCGCCGUUUGUUCUGCUUUUUCCCGCAUGGAUUAGGAGGCGAAGCGAAUGGGUCUGGAGGUGAAUGAGGACAACACGAAAUAUCUCCUGUCAUCAAGCAAACAGUCUGCGCAUUCUCGUCUUGGCUCCCACGUCACUGUUGACAGUCAUAACUUCGAGGUCGUAGAUAAUUUCGUAUACCUGGGAACCAGCAUCAACAACACGAACAAUGUCAGCCUCGAAAUCCAGCGCAGAAUAACUCUUGCCUACAGGUGCUACUUUGGACUGAGUAGGCAAUUGAACAGUAAAGUCCUCUCUCGACGAACCAAAAUCAAGCACUACAAGUCGCUUAUCAUUCCCGUCCUGCUUUACGGUGCAGAAGCUUGGACGAUGUCAACAUCAGAUGAGACGACACUAGGAGUUUUCGAGAGGAAAAUUUUGCGCAAGAUUUAUGGUCCUCAGAACAUUGGCAACGGCGAAUACCGCAGACGAUGGAACGAUGAGCUGUACGAGUUAUACGACGACAUUGACAUAGUUCAGCGAAUAAACAGACAGCGGCUACGGUGGCUAGGUCAUGUUGUACGAAUGGACGAAAACACUCCAGCCCUGAAAGUGUUCGAUGCAGUACCCGCCGGAAGAAGGCGAGGAAGGGGAAGGCCUUCACUCCGUUGGAGGGACCAGGUGGAGAGCGACCUGAAAUAUGGAAAUGAAGAGGGUGAUACUCCAUCGCACUGUAAAGUCGAAGCACGCAAUAGAAGCUACGCCAACAAUGGUCAACAUCAAAGGCGAAACUAUUGAAUACAUAUUUCAAACCUCAUACGGCGCGUUAAAGGUACGCAACCUAAUUGGUGUCACUUAUGGAAGCAGCGUAGAACUUUCGAAGCAAUGGAAUAUGUGCUGCAAGCAAAACCAGAACUAUGAAUGCAAGCGCUGCUACAUCGACCACAAAUCACUUACACACCAGAUAUUAGGUUUAAUAUCUCUGUUUUACGCACAAUUAAACCUUUUGGUUAACAAAAGCACGGGCAGAAUUGGAAUGACAUGGUUUAGGUGCUUUUGUAACCGUUUAUCAUAGCAGUUGCAAUAUUUUUGGACUUACCGGCACCUUAGUUGGCCGUGCCAUUAGCAGCUAAAACACAGAAAUUAAAGGGAGGACUUUUUUGAUUCAUUUUCACUUUAUAUUGAGGAAUCAUAACGUUGUUGUAUCGCUUUACAAGGACAUGGAUUCACCGAAAUGGAAAUACUACAGUAAGAGCAUGGAUGUUAAGACUAGAACGUUGCCCGUGCUAGAUUUAAAUUCCUGAAACAUAAGAAACGCUCCUUCCAAAAAUUGGGUGAAUCUAGUACUAGUGAAAUUAAGGAAAGAACAGACCUUACAAAAACUCCUAAGGAAACCAAAAGAGUCCUCACAUAAUAUGCGCAGUUUACAAUUGCAGGCCGCACGGGAUAUUUGAUAUUUGUCACUCUUCCUUCAGCCUUUGUCCGAUUGCAAAAAUUGUUCAUUUAUUCAAUACGUUAUAUAUAUGUAUAUUCAAUAAAUAUGUAAUUUAACUAAUUAUUU